Molecule: ribosomal RNA, 234 nt
Filed under: uncultured bacterium
Lineage: Bacteria
Description: partial 16S ribosomal RNA
Rfam family: Bacterial small subunit ribosomal RNA
Source: RNAcentral
CGCACGGGUGAGUAACACGUAUCCAACCUGCCGUCUACUCUUGGACAGCCUUCUGAAAGGAAGAUUAAUACAAGAUGGCAUCAUGAGUCCGCAUGUUCACAUGAUUAAAGAAUUUCGGUCAUCGAUGGGGAUGCGUUCCAUUAGGUUGUUGGCGGGGUAACGGCCCACCAAGCCUUCGAUGGAUAGGGGUUCUGAGAGGAAGGUCCCCCACAUUGGAACUGAGACACGGUCCAA